Long non-coding RNA from Oncorhynchus tshawytscha (Chinook salmon), 697 nucleotides. The record is from Ensembl. NCBI's taxonomy places the organism in Eukaryota, Metazoa, Chordata, Actinopteri, Salmoniformes, Salmonidae.
GGGGGGUAGCAGCUUUAAUAUUGCGGGGAGAUUGUUACUUCCAUCAAUGUAAUUGUCUGCAUCAUUUCCAAACCCUGCUUUACUGACAUUACCAGAUACUGCAAACCAACAAAUAGAGAAAUACGUCUUCUGAUUGGCCAAGUGCACGGUUCUGACUGGUGGCUGACCUGUCUAUACUGUGCCCCUCUCUCUCCGCCCAUUGCUCGCUAUGACACAUGUGAGCGUGGAAAGGAAUCAGGUCAGUAGUGGUAGUACAGGUCAGUAGUGCAGGUCAGUAGUGGUAGUACAGGUCAGUAGUAGUAGUGCAGGUCAGUAGUGGUAGUACAGGUCAGUAGUACAGGUCAGUAGUACAGGUCAGUAGUGGCAGUACAGGUCAGUAGUACAGGUCAGUAGUACAGGUCAGUAGUACAGGUCAGUAGUGGUAGUACAGGUCAGUAGUACAGGUCAGUAGUACAGGUCAGUAGUGGUAGUACAGGUCAGUAGUACAGGUCAGUAGUAGUUGUGCAGGUCAGUAGUACAGGUCAGUAGUGCAGGUCAGUAGUGCAGGUCAGUAGUGGUAGUACAGGUCAGUAGUACAGGUCAGUAGUGGUAGUACAGGUCAGUAGUGCAGGUCAGUAGUACAGGUCAGUAGUACAGGUCAGUAGUACAGGUCAGUAGUGGUAGUACAGGUCAUUAGUACAGGUCAGCAGUACAGGUC